GAUGAACGCUGGCGGCGUGCCUAAUACAUGCAAGUCGAGCGAACAGACGAGGAGCUUGCUCCUCUGACGUUAGCGGCGGACGGGUGAGUAACACGUGGAUAACCUACCUAUAAGACUGGGAUAACUUCGGGAAACCGGAGCUAAUACCGGAUAAUAUAUUGAACCGCAUGGUUCAAUAGUGAAAGACGGUUUUGCUGUCACUUAUAGAUGGAUCCGCGCCGCAUUAGCUAGUUGGUAAGGUAACGGCUUACCAAGGCGACGAUGCGUAGCCGACCUGAGAGGGUGAUCGGCCACACAGGAACUGAGACACGGUCCAGACUCCUACGGGAGGCAGCAGUAGGGAAUCUUCCGCAAUGGGCGAAAGCCUGACGGAGCAACGCCGCGUGAGUGAUGAAGGUCUUCGGAUCGUAAAACUCUGUUAUUAGGGAAGAACAAAUGUGUAAGUAACUAUGCACGUCUUGACGGUACCUAAUCAGAAAGCCACGGCUAACUACGU
RNAcentral lists this ribosomal RNA (496 nucleotides) under uncultured bacterium. RNAcentral's name for it is "partial 16S ribosomal RNA". It matches the Rfam family "Bacterial small subunit ribosomal RNA", at positions 28 to 506 of the family's 1533-position model. The record is from RNAcentral.